AGAUUGAACGCUAGCGGGAUGCCUUACACAUGCAAGUCGAACGGCAGCACGGACUUCGGUCUGGUGGCGAGUGGCGAACGGGUGAGUAAUGUAUCGGAACGUGCCUAGUAGCGGGGGAUAACUACGCGAAAGCGUAGCUAAUACCGCAUACGCCCUACGGGGGAAAGCAGGGGAUCGCAAGACCUUGCACUAUUAGAGCGGCCGAUAUCGGAUUAGCUAGUUGGUGGGGUAACGGCUCACCAAGGCGACGAUCCGUAGCUGGUUUGAGAGGACGACCAGCCACACUGGGACUGAGACACGGCCCAGACUCCUACGGGAGGCAGCAGUGGGGAAUUUUGGACAAUGGGGGAAACCCUGAUCCAGCCAUCCCGCGUGUGCGAUGAAGGCCUUCGGGUUGUAAAGCACUUUUGGCAGGAAAGAAACGUCAUGGGUUAAUACCCCGUGAAACUGACGGUACCUGCAGAAUAAGCACCGGCUAACUACGUGCCAGCAGCCGCGGU
This 500-nucleotide ribosomal RNA is filed under the name uncultured bacterium. Its description in RNAcentral is "bacterial SSU rRNA". It matches the Rfam family "Bacterial small subunit ribosomal RNA", at positions 26 to 521 of the family's 1533-position model. The record is from RNAcentral.